GCCUAGCCCUGAUAGAAGCGGCAUCCUUUUUCUGGUUCUUUUGCCAGAAAAAGAUAUAGCGGAGAGCAGGAAAAAGC
This 77-nucleotide small RNA is filed under the name Flavobacterium sp. KMS. Its description in RNAcentral is "Flavo-1 RNA". It matches the Rfam family "Flavo-1 RNA". The record is from Rfam by way of RNAcentral. Lineage: Bacteria; Pseudomonadati; Bacteroidota; Flavobacteriia; Flavobacteriales; Flavobacteriaceae.